CGCGUAGGCGGGUAAGCAAGUCAGAUGUGAAAUACCGGGGCUCAACCCCGGGGCUGCAUUUGAAACUGUUUAUCUUGAGUGCAGGAGAGGGAAGCGGAAUUCCUAGUGUAGCGGUGAAAUGCGUAGAUAUUAGGAGGAACACCGGUGGCGAAGGCGGCUUCCUGGACUGUAACUGACGCUGAGGCGCGAAAGCGUGGGGAGCAAACAG
This 208-nucleotide ribosomal RNA is filed under the name uncultured bacterium. Its description in RNAcentral is "partial 16S ribosomal RNA". It matches the Rfam family "Bacterial small subunit ribosomal RNA", at positions 568 to 775 of the family's 1533-position model. The record is from RNAcentral.